Molecule: long non-coding RNA, 520 nt
Filed under: Rattus norvegicus (Norway rat)
Lineage: Eukaryota; Metazoa; Chordata; Mammalia; Rodentia; Muridae
Description: long non-coding RNA NONRATT029511
Source: RNAcentral
GUCUUCCCUUUCUAAUAUCCUGGUGUCGAGCUGGUUCCAUUGCUUCUUGGAGUUGAGAAACUCUCCUGGCAAAAAGUCUACCUGAAGAGCAAAAUGGUGGGGUUUUACCCUGGAAUUCCAACACCAUUCCCACUCCACAAAAGGACACUGAAACAAAGUUCUGCUGAGCCGUCCGUCUUGCUUCUGUGGGAGGGAGCGGAGCAAGUUUGAUCGCUCUGGUUUCUAAACUAGUCUUAUGCUUUCUUCCAGUUCUGCUGUUCUCCAUCUCUAGGUUUUGACAGUGCCUCAGAACCCGUGAGCAUCUGUGUUUUUUCCUUUCAAGAUGCCAUUUACAGACUUUGUUCUGGCCCUCAAAGACAAUCCCUACUUUGGGGCUGGAUUUGGGCUGGUAGGUGUGGGUACAGCUCUGGCUAUGGCCCGGAAAGGAGCCCAGUUGGGUCUAGUGGCAUUCCGUCGCCAUUACAUGAUCACACUGGAAGUCCCUGCUAGAGACAGAAGCUAUGCCUGGUUGCUUAGCUGG